This 370-nucleotide non-coding RNA is filed under the name Perkinsus marinus ATCC 50983. RNAcentral describes it as "Eukaryotic small subunit ribosomal RNA". It matches the Rfam family "Eukaryotic small subunit ribosomal RNA", at positions 1456 to 1831 of the family's 1831-position model. Lineage: Eukaryota; Perkinsozoa; Perkinsida; Perkinsidae. The record is from Rfam by way of RNAcentral.
ACAGGUCUGUGAUGCCUUAGAUGUUCUGGGCUGCACGCGCGCUACACUGACACGAUCAACAAGUAUUUCUUGCCCGGUAGGGUUAGGGUAAUCUUUUGAAAUCGUGUCGUGCUAGGGAUAGACGAUUGCAAUUAUUCGUCUUCAACGAGGAAUUCCUAGUAAAUGCAAGUCAUCAGCUUGCGUUGAUUACGUCCCUGCCCUUUGUACACACCGCCCGUCGCUCCUACCGAUUGAGUGAUCCGGUGAGCUGUCCGGACUGCGAUUAGUUCAGUUUCUGUUCUCUUCGCGGGAAGUUCUGCAAACCUUAUCACUUAGAGGAAGGAGAAGUCGUAACAAGGUUUCCGUAGGUGAACCUGCGGAAGGAUCAUUC